This is a non-coding RNA of Dipodomys ordii (Ord's kangaroo rat), 73 nucleotides long. The record is from Rfam. Lineage: Eukaryota; Metazoa; Chordata; Mammalia; Rodentia; Heteromyidae.
GGGAAGGUGGCUCAGUGGUAGAGUGCUUGCCUUGUAAUGCAUGAGGCCCUGGGUUCGAUUCCUCAGCACCCCA